UAUAAAUUUGUCACUUGUCACUUGUCAGAAAAGUCGAGACUGUUUUGUAGGUAAACUUGAACUCGAUUUCAGCUCUAUUGUAGUUUAAUUCUGGAUAUUCGUUUCUAGAUUGCAAUAUAUGGUAUAACCGAAAAUGUCUCUUAAUACAGCUCAUGCUGAUCAUGGAGUAUUGAUACACGCUGGAGAGUGCAUCAUACUGUUUUCCGAUAAUGUCACUGUAGAGUUUUAUGGAAAUGAUACGGCCGAGUUUAAAGGAGCAAAAAAUGGUCGCAUGUAUCUCACCACCCAUAGGAUGAUUUAUAACUCUAAAAAGAACACAGAUACACUACGGUCAUUCAGUUUCCCGUUUGUGGCUUUGCAAGAUGUAACUGUUGAACAACCAAUGUUUGGUGCAAACUUUAUCAAAGGAAAAAUUCAUGCACAGCCAAAUGGAAAUUUCAUAGGAGAAGUGAAGUUUAAACUUACAUUCAAAUCAGGAGGUGCAAUUGAAUUUGGACAAGCUAUGUUGAAGGCUGCCCACCUUGCAUCCCGCCACAUGACUCCCAAUGCUCCGCCGCCAGCAUACACGCCGCCAAGCGGGCCAUGGUACGCGGCCCCACCACCAGCCUACGCGCCCCCACCACAAGGCUACUAUGGUUGGGUCCCUCCAUACUCUGCGUUCCCCGACCAGCCGGCGCCGAACUCGGUGUUCGUGUCGAACAGUCCACCACCAUACCCGGGCGUGAUGGGCGCCGCGUACCCGCCGGGCGCGGGCUUCUCAGGUGCAGGUGGGAACAGCGCAGGCUACCCGAACGCGCCCCCGGGCUACCCGGGCAACGCUAACUCGCCUCCCGGUUAUCCGGGCAACGCGAACCCACCACCCGCCGGGUUUGCGGGCGGCUUCGUGCCCCCGCCCGGGAUGUCGGCUAGUGGUCUAUAUGUGUAUUACCCUUUGUGGUGUUUUAUGUGAUGCGAAAGCCGCGGAAGCUGCACAAAGUGCAUACUACGAUCCUAAUAAGCCGCAGACUGCAUAUGUGCCACCACCUUACAAUGAUCAGCCACCGACGUAUCAGGA
This 1054-nucleotide unclassified non-coding RNA is filed under the name Zerene cesonia (dogface butterfly). RNAcentral's name for it is "wW domain-binding protein 2, transcript variant X1". Lineage: Eukaryota; Metazoa; Arthropoda; Insecta; Lepidoptera; Pieridae. The record is from RNAcentral.